CUUCAACCUGCUGUGGCUGCUUUUCUGCUUCCACGGUAGACAUGGAAGAAAUCUUGUUCCUUACUCAGUUUGGUGUGUCUCGUUGGGUUACGGUAUUUACUGAUAAUGCUGUCUCCUGAAUAGAGCAUAAAUGUCUGUGGGGGCUGCAAGCAGUUCAGGGCACUGACUUCUGUUUUCAGCCUGUUUGUACCAGCUGGAAGUUUGCUCCAGUGUAUGCAAGCAGCAAAAUAGGAUUCGCUCACAGCCAGCUUUGCAGAGAUAUCGGCAGGUGCUGCGUAAUAACGUUCUGCAAGAAAAUGCCAGAACAGGUGAGAUUCGUGUGUUAAAAUGCUCAGAUCAUGUAUCAGAAAGCCCUGCCAUAACAGUUCAUUUCCCCUGACAUAAGCCUUCACUCCUUUGUCUGUCUGGGAUCUAAACGGUUAAUCUACCUGAGCAAAUAGGUAGGAACAUUCUUGCUUUCAGUGAAGUUUGACUCCUGGAGGCAGAUUUUUUUUUUCCAGUGAGUUCAGAUAAUUGGAAGGGUAGGGUGAGGCAGGAAACCACGACACACCUUUGUCAGGACUUGUUUAGGAGCAAGGGAUAGAAAAGCUCAAGAAGGACGAGAGUAAAACAGGUUAAAUAAAGAAGAGGUGAACAUUUCUGGAUGAUCACUCCGAUUCCACGCACCUCUGGAGGCACACAAUAUAAGGUGUAGGUGGCAAAUUUUAUAGGAAACAGUUGAGGAGAAAAACAGACUUUCAAUUCAGUAACCAAAGCAUACCAGGUGGCAAUGGUAUGGAUUCUGUAACGAAGAAAACGAGGCAAGAUGGCUCAGAAGUUACAGAAAGACUUAUUACAGAGACAGUAACGACAAGGCUGACUUCCUUACCACCCAGUAAGUAAUUGUGAUCCAUUGCAUUACUUCUGCUCAGUGACUGCAACAGGUCUUGCUGCAGAAAGACUUACACCUGAAGAGAAG
RNAcentral lists this long non-coding RNA (958 nucleotides) under Cairina moschata (Muscovy duck). RNAcentral's name for it is "domestica (muscovy Duck (domestic type)) lncRNA (ENSCMMG00000002014.1)". Lineage: Eukaryota; Metazoa; Chordata; Aves; Anseriformes; Anatidae. The record is from RNAcentral.